Molecule: ribosomal RNA, 583 nt
Filed under: Pichia membranifaciens
Lineage: Eukaryota; Fungi; Ascomycota; Pichiomycetes; Pichiales; Pichiaceae
Description: eukaryotic LSU rRNA
Rfam family: Eukaryotic large subunit ribosomal RNA
Source: RNAcentral
CAAAGUUUUCAUGUCCUACAUAUUGGCGAGUGAGCGGCAGAGCUCAGAUUUGAAAUCGUGCCAAUUUUUUUGGCACGAGUUGUAGAGUGUAGGCGGGAGUCUUUGUGGAGCACGGUGUCCAAGUCCCUUGGAACAGGGCGCCUGAGAGGGUGAGAGCCCCGUGGGGUGUCGUGCGAAGCUUUGAGGCCCUGCUGACGAGUCGAGUUGUUUGGGAAUGCAGCUCCAAGUGGGUGGUAAAUUCCAUCUAAGGCUAAAUACUGGCGAGAGACCGAUAGCGAACAAGUACUGUGAAGGAAAGAUGAAAAGCACUUUGAAAAGAGAGUGAAACAGCACGUGAAAUUGUUGAAAGGGAAGGGUAUUGGGCCCGACAUGGGGAGUGCGCACCGCUGUCUCUUGUAGGCGGCGCUCUGGGCGCUCUCUGGGCCAGCAUCGGUUCUUGCUGCGGGAGAAUGGGUGCCGGAAAGUGGCUCUUCGGAGUGUUAUAGCCGGCGCCAGAUACCGCGUGCGGGGACCGAGGACUGCGGCUUCUGUCUCGGAUGCUGGCACAACGGCGCAAUACCGCCCGUCUUGAAAACACGGACCA